ACGCUGGCUACAGGCUUAACACAUGCAAGUCGAGGGGAAACGACGGGGAAGCUUGCUUCCUUGGGCGUCGACCGGCGCACGGGUGAGUAACGCGUAUCCAACCUGCCUCUGACUGAGGGAUAACCCGUCGAAAGUCGGCCUAAUACCUCAUGGCAUCGUCUGCGGGCAUCCAACGACGAUUAAAGAUUUCAUCGGUCAGGGAUGGGGAUGCGUCUGAUUAGCUGGUUGGCGGGGUAACGGCCCACCAAGGCUACGAUCAGUAGGGGUUCUGAGAGGAAGGUCCCCCACAUUGGAACUGAGACACGGUCCAAACUCCUACGGGAGGCAGCAGUGAGGAAUAUUGGUCAAUGGGCGAGAGCCUGAACCAGCCAAGUAGCGUGCAGGAAGACGGCCCUAUGGGUUGUAAACUGCUUUUAUGCGGGGAUAAAGUGAGGGACGUGUCCUUCAUUGCAGGUACCGCAUGAAUAAGGACCGGCUAAUUCCGUGCCAGCAGCCGCGGUAAUACGGAAGGUCCUGGCGUUAUCCGGAUUUAUUGGGUUUAAAGGGAGCGUAGGCCGUGGAUUAAGCGUGUUGUGAAAUGCAGGUGCUCAACGUCUGCACUGCAGCGCGAACUGGUCCACUUGAGUGUGCGCAACGCAGGCGGAAUUCGUCGUGUAGCGGUGAAAUGCUUAGAUAUGACGAAGAACUCCGAUUGCGAAGGCAGCUUGCGGGAGCACAACUGACGCUGAAGCUCGAAAGUGCGGGUAUCGAACAGGAUUAGAUACCCUGGUAGUCCGCACGGUAAACGAUGGAUGCCCGUUGUCAGGCUGUUUCAGCCUGGUGACCAAGCGAAAGCAUUAAGCAUCCCACCUGGGGAGUACGCCGGCAACGGUGAAACCCAAAGGAAUUGACGGGGGCCCGCACAAGCGGA
Molecule: ribosomal RNA, 910 nt
Filed under: uncultured bacterium
Lineage: Bacteria
Description: bacterial SSU rRNA
Rfam family: Bacterial small subunit ribosomal RNA
Source: RNAcentral